Junco hyemalis (dark-eyed junco) is the source of this 718-nucleotide long non-coding RNA. The record is from Ensembl. NCBI's taxonomy places the organism in Eukaryota, Metazoa, Chordata, Aves, Passeriformes, Passerellidae.
GGCCAGGCAGAUUCUACACCAUCAUUUGUGAUCCUCUCAACAUUCCCUCUGCCCAGGGCAGCAUUUCCUUCUUGCAGCCAUGAGGAGCCUCUUCCUUUAGGCUUAAAAAUGCCCCAAUUGGUUGCAGGUUCAGAUCUCCCCUUGGCUUAUCUGACUGAGCUGGAGGUGGAGGGUCUGGUGGCAGCUCCCCCCCUUGCCAAGAACCUGUGUGAGAUCAAGGAAGCUUUGGUGAAUCUGCAUCAACCCUCAGCCCUUGGCAAUUCAGACAGCAAACACCAAGCCAGCCUGGGGAGCUCAGGCUUCUUCUGAUGGAUGCCUGGGAUGGAGCCUUGCAGCUGGAAUAAAGAGGAGCUGCACUCUCAGAGCAGGGACAGGAGCAGGAGGAUUUCAUGUUCUGCACAGUAAAACAGCCACCAACUCAUUCCUGGAGGAGCUGAGCUUAUCCUGGGCCGUGGAUGAGGUUGGGCUGGGGAGGGAGGGGGUGUCUGGGACAGAGCAGCUUUACCUGAGUAUCAGAACAGACACAAAUUUAAUUAAGGAUGUGUUUGGUCAAAUAUGUGAUGAUGAAUCCAUAUUCUUUUUGCUUAACCUUGACAUAUUUUCAUAUUUGCUGUGGAUUAUCAGUAAUUUGUAGGCUGGAGAAGGAGGGUGAAGUUCUUGAUGUCGCUGAUUUUGUGUUUUUUGUUGUUAAGCCAAUAAAAAAAUAAACAGAAGAGCA